CCAGCAGCAUGCAGUAGACAUACGGUGACAUUGAAAAACAGUACCUAAGGACUCCAGCUGAAAUCGAGGCCCCUUUGUCUAGGCUUGGUACAAACAUACAGGAAGAGAGAGUCCCUGCUGAAGACAAAAGGUUGUGGGGAAGGGGAUAUGACCUACAACAGAGUGAACAAAUCUACAAGUGUCAUUAGGUGGGGAAACUGAGGGAAAGAUUUUCAUCAAUUUGCCAGUGCUGAUGCAAGAAGUCUGUGACAGAACCGCACAUAGUACCCAGAUCUUCUGAUUCCCAUGUCUGUGUUCUGACUACUGUGUUCCCAUAUUUGUCCUCUCACAUCUAGAGCAUAUAUGCUUUUUUAAAAUAAUUUAUAUGGUCUGUGUAGAUGUUAUUUCCUUUUAGUAUUUAAAUGGGCAGCAGUUAGUGCUAACACAGACUUGAUUGAAUUAAGUGGGAAUGCAGUAAAAUUCACUAAUACCUUUAAAAUGAGGGUGGAGAAAUUUCAGGUUGCUGAUAAAGCUCUAGGGUUGCCAGGUGUCCAAGUGAGAUAACACUCCAAUGAGGCAACCUCAUUAGCUAAUAAGAACUGUACUUAUCAUCCCAUUGACACCCAGCGUGAAGUCUUUUGGUACUCAUCCUUUUCUCUGCCACAGUAACAAUCUCUAGUUCCAGGCAGGCAGGUUGCAGAUGCAUAUUCUUCCUUAGGGUCAUGUGUUUCUGACAGUCUUUAAUAGCACUGUAUUUUUGCAGUUCAAUACCUUAUCCUUUAGAUGGCAUUAGAUCCUUUAACAUGUUAGAAAAAUAACACUCACCAUAUUAAAGUGUGAGAUGAGGGUAAAUGAGUACAGCAGUAACUUUAGACACUUUGCUGCAAGGAAUGCAGCCAAUACUUGUUGACAGGAAACCAUAAGUAUUAAAUAAAAGCCUAGAUCCUUGGCUAUGGGCAAGGAGGAGGCAGCACGAUUCGUGAGUGUAGGGUUCAGAGGAGGCAAUCCUGGACUAGGUCAGUCCUCAGGCAUUGCACCAAUUGUUAGCUAUCCCAAGGAGCAAAUAGAGCAGCUGGGGAUUGCCAGAGUACAGGGAGGACCCAUCUCCCCCGCCAUUCUCCCUGUGUCUGGUGCGGGGAGGCAUAAGAUUGAGCUGUUAUGCAGGAUCUAUGCCAUCAGAGUUUCCUUGUAUUCUAGAGUGAUGCUUCAAUAGCUGGUUAUGCCAUAAUAGGUCCAGAUCUGUUGUUGGUGUGUAAAGUGGGUGCACAAGGUAGGAUCCAAGAUUAAGAUGGUAAAAAGAAGUGUAACACACAAGACACUUUCGUUGAAAAUACAGUUGUGCAUCUGCACAUGAUCUUGUAUGAACCACUUCUAGAAAAUUAAAUUUUAAACUAUUUUCCCAGUA
Molecule: long non-coding RNA, 1384 nt
Organism: Chelonoidis abingdonii (Abingdon island giant tortoise)
Lineage: Eukaryota; Metazoa; Chordata; Testudines; Testudinidae
Source: RefSeq, a predicted model, not a curated record